This 24-nucleotide unclassified non-coding RNA is filed under the name Mus musculus (house mouse). Its description in RNAcentral is "oocyte_clustered_small_RNA2044". Lineage: Eukaryota; Metazoa; Chordata; Mammalia; Rodentia; Muridae. The record is from RNAcentral.
UUCCACUAUGCAGGGCAGGGGAGU